This 426-nucleotide ribosomal RNA is filed under the name Mucor sp. F39 CAS-2008. RNAcentral describes it as "eukaryotic LSU rRNA". It matches the Rfam family "Eukaryotic large subunit ribosomal RNA", at positions 331 to 670 of the family's 3401-position model. The record is from RNAcentral. Lineage: Eukaryota; Fungi; Mucoromycota; Mucoromycetes; Mucorales; Mucoraceae.
AGACCGAUAGCGAACAAGUACCGUGAGGGAAAGAUGAAAAGAACUUUGAAAAGAGAGUUAAACAGUAUGUGAAAUUGUUAAAAGGGAACCGUUUGGAGCCAGACUGGUUUGACUGUAAUCAACCUAGAAUUCGUUCUGGGUGCACUUGCAGUCUAUACCUGCCAACAACAGUUUGAUUUGGAGGAAAAAAUUAGUAGGAAUGUAGCCUCUCGAGGUGUUAUAGCCUACUAUCAUACUCUGGAUUGGACUGAGGAACGCAGCGAAUGCCAUUAGGCGAGAUUGCUGGGUGCUUUCGCUAAUAAAUGUUAGAAUUUCUGCUUCGGGUGGUGCUAAUGUUUAAAGGAGGAACNCAUCUAGUAUAUUUUUUAUUCGCUUAGGUUGUUGGCUUAAUGACUCUAAAUGACCCGUCUUGAAACACGGACCAAG